RNAcentral lists this long non-coding RNA (824 nucleotides) under Homo sapiens (human). Its description in RNAcentral is "HSALNT0324150". The record is from RNAcentral. Lineage: Eukaryota; Metazoa; Chordata; Mammalia; Primates; Hominidae.
GAGAGCCAAGCAAGUUGGAGCUGCCCGGGAACUGGAUGUGCUUGCUUAGAAAACAUUUCAACAUUUCCAAGGGUAUAGUUUCUCCCACAUACUCUGGAACGCUUGGAAACCACUUUAAUUAGCAUUGUUUGCCUGUCUGGCUGCCUUGGGUCUUUGGUUUGCUGAGGGCUGCUUGGAGGCUAUGCCCUCCUCUCCAGCCCCUGCGUUGGGAAGUCACAGGAGACCGGAGCUGCGCACGACAUCACAGCGCCGAAUUCUGACCCAAUCUGAAUCAAAUGUCACCCAUACCCUGUCUUCAACCAACAAAAGAGCAACGAAGCCAGAGACAUCAUCUUCAGCUGCCUUGGCCUGUAAGGAAUUCAUUCUGACUUGAGAGGUGCUUUAACACUUUCACAUGUAAUUGUGUCCAGAAUUGGUGGGUUCUUGGUCUCACUGACUUCAAGAAUGAAGCCGCGGACCCUCGCGGUGAGUGUUACAGCUCCUAAGGUGGCGCGUCUGGAGUUUGUUCCUUCUGAUGUUCAGGUAUGUUUGGAGUUUCUUCCUUCUGCUGAGUUCGUGGUCUCACUCGCUCAGGAAUGCAGCUGCAGACCUUCACGCGUGGAGCCAUCCUGCAUUAGUUUUCACUAGCGCUUCCUUAGUGUGGCAAGCCGAACUACCGGAGUGUUAACCCGGAUGGUGCCGUGAACGAGGCCACACAGGAACUGGGUUUCACCCUUGGAAGAAACACACAGCCUUGGACAUUCAUCUCCUGCCUGUUAGUUUCUUAGGGCUGCUGUAGCAUGUUACCACAAACUGGAUCAGACUGCAGACAUGUGUUCACUGAC